RNA transcript from Myotis davidii, 547 nucleotides. It is a transcript of the gene named BET1 homolog pseudogene, with no coding region annotated. The record is from RefSeq and is a predicted model, not a curated record. NCBI's taxonomy places the organism in Eukaryota, Metazoa, Chordata, Mammalia, Chiroptera, Vespertilionidae. The transcript has 2 exons.
GGAAUAGACGCGCAGGGCGAGUGGCGAGUGGCAGACGCGCCCUGCGCGCUCGCUUCCCGGGCCGCGUGAGCCAAGCCAGGGGAAGAAGUUGGUGAUUCGCCGGACCCUGGUCCUGAAGACGAGGUCCGGCGACCCCUGGCCCUUCCUGCCUCACCCCCGCCUGCCUUUUCCCUCUAUCUUCUGCCAGGAUGACGCACGCAGGCCUGGGCGCAGGUGUACCUCCUGGCAGCUAUAGGAACUAUGGCUCUGCUAAUAGUGGAUAUAGUGCCUGUGAAGAAGAAAAUGACAGACACACCGAAAGCCUGAGGCGCAAAGUAAAGGCUGUGAAAGAUCUUUCCAUUGAGAUAGGCCAUGAAGUUAAAACUCAAAAUAAAUUACUAGCUGAAAUGGAGUCACAAUUUGAUUCCACAACUGGAUUUCUAGGUAGAACUAUGGGAAAACUGAAGAUUUUAUCCAGAGGGAGCCAAACAAAGCUGAUGUGCUAUAUGAUGCUGUUUUCAUUGUUUGUCUUUUUUGUCAUAUAUUGGAUUAUUAAACUGAGGUGAUG